GAACGCAUCUUGCGCUCCUUGGUAUUCUGAGGAGCAUGCUUGUUUGAGUAUCAGUAAACACCUCAAAACUCUUGAUCUUUUUCAAGCGUUUUGGACUUGAGCAAACCCAACGCCUUUUCUUUUAAGAUCUGUUGCGGCGGGUUGCUUGGAAUGCAGGGGCAGCUGGACAAACUCCUUAGCUAAAAGCAUAUUUAUUUAGUCCCGUCAAACGGAUUAUUACUUUUUGCUGCAGCUAACAUAAAGGGAGUUUUGACCAUUAUGGCUGACUGAUGCAGGAUUUCACAGAGAAAAGGCCGGCAACGGUUUUGUCUCUGUCAAACUCGAUCUCAAAUCAAGUAAGACUACCCGCUGAACUUAAG
This 359-nucleotide unclassified non-coding RNA is filed under the name uncultured fungus. RNAcentral describes it as "sequence contains 5.8S rRNA gene". The record is from RNAcentral. Lineage: Eukaryota; Fungi.